RNAcentral lists this ribosomal RNA (600 nucleotides) under Bacillus subtilis. RNAcentral's name for it is "bacterial SSU rRNA". It matches the Rfam family "Bacterial small subunit ribosomal RNA", at positions 64 to 646 of the family's 1533-position model. Lineage: Bacteria; Bacillati; Bacillota; Bacilli; Caryophanales; Bacillaceae. The record is from RNAcentral.
GAGCGGACAGAUGGGAGCUUGCUCCCUGAUGUUAGCGGCGGACGGGUGAGUAACACGUGGGUAACCUGCCUGUAAGACUGGGAUAACUCCGGGAAACCGGGGCUAAUACCGGAUGGUUGUCUGAACCGCAUGGUUCAGACAUAAAAGGUGGCUUCGGCUACCACUUACAGAUGGACCCGCGGCGCAUUAGCUAGUUGGUGAGGUAACGGCUCACCAAGGCGACGAUGCGUAGCCGACCUGAGAGGGUGAUCGGCCACACUGGGACUGAGACACGGCCCAGACUCCUACGGGAGGCAGCAGUAGGGAAUCUUCCGCAAUGGACGAAAGUCUGACGGAGCAACGCCGCGUGAGUGAUGAAGGUUUUCGGAUCGUAAAGCUCUGUUGUUAGGGAAGAACAAGUGCCGUUCAAAUAGGGCGGCACCUUGACGGUACCUAACCAGAAAGCCACGGCUAACUACGUGCCAGCAGCCGCGGUAAUACGUAGGUGGCAAGCGUUGUCCGGAAUUAUUGGGCGUAAAGGGCUCGCAGGCGGUUUCUUAAGUCUGAUGUGAAAGCCCCCGGCUCAACCGGGGAGGGUCAUUGGAAACUGGGGAACUUGAG